UAAUCACAACUGUGUAAGUGAGGCCAUGCCCUCAGCUUAAACUGGUGGUUUUGGUUAAGUUUAAGUUCUUGCUUUGGUGUCGUUAGUGUUAGUUUUAUUUUUACUCAACGUUACCCUUUUUAAGAACCUAAUAUCAUAGGGAUUUAUAUGUUGGAUUUUAUGGUAGCUGUUAUUUUUUAUGAAGAAAAUCACAAAGAAUGUUGCUAAAUAUUAAUGUUUUGUUUUCUUGUGCCGAGGUGUCUUCCUGGUACUGCUUCAUUGGUUUUCUGCUUCUACACUCUGUGGUUUCAUUCUUCACUGCCCUGCUGCGGGAUCUUCAAUUUUGAGGAUUGUGGAUCCCAGCUGGCUACAUUGCUAGAUGCUUCUGUUUCUUGAAUCUCUGUGGAUAUGACGCGCCUCUCCUCAAAUUAUAGUGGUAUUUCUUUAAGUUCAUAUUAAGGAUGAGGAAUGGCAUGACACGCGACUGGCAGGUACAAUCUGUUCCAAGGAGUUUGGGGAUUUGAUGUUCUCCUUUAAACUAAAUUGUGAAUGGUGCUCCUUAUGGGUUCAUAGGGCAGUGUCCGAGUCUAUGCUCCUGAGAGUUCUGGUUCCCUUUUGACUUUAUAUGUUAGCUGGCUUCAUUUUGCUUUUUUGCUCCUUUUCGCCCACUCUUUCAAUAUCACCUGUCAUAUAUCAGUCCUCUUUUAAAAGAGUAUUCUCCAUAAUUUCUUUCUGUCUAUCAGGGAUAAAGAGUUGGUUACAAUUUUAUUCAAGUGUUCCCUUUGAGAGUGACUGAUAUCUUUCGAAAUUUUUACUUUUUCUACUUCUCCACACAAAGCUAGUGUUUUGUUUUAAAGGUGCCCCUUGUACCCCCCUCCCUUUUUUACCUUAAAAAACAGUCAUAUCUAUUUCUGUUAAACUUCAUCGUUCUUUUAUCAAUUAAGUUCUCUUUUUUCAUCAUCUGACAUACAUAGUGUUGGGUGUCUGUUAGUAGUUUCGCUUAUCAAAGUUGUAGAAUAUGCAUGAAUGUAGAGGACCGCUCGCCAUUGGCCUUUCCAGUAGGAGAGUUUGCUUUGACUGCCUGCACCCAAGAUGUUCAGCU
This 1081-nucleotide long non-coding RNA is filed under the name Solanum melongena (eggplant). RNAcentral describes it as "long non-coding RNA (SMEL_LNC000165)". The record is from RNAcentral. Lineage: Eukaryota; Viridiplantae; Streptophyta; Magnoliopsida; Solanales; Solanaceae.